UGUUGGUGUGCUUUUACUUUA
Molecule: non-coding RNA, 21 nt
Filed under: Arabidopsis thaliana (thale cress)
Lineage: Eukaryota; Viridiplantae; Streptophyta; Magnoliopsida; Brassicales; Brassicaceae
Source: RNAcentral